GUGAAUCAUCGAAUCUUUGAACGCAAAUUGCACUCUCUGGUAUUCCGGAGAGAAUGCCUGUUUGAGGGUCAGUAUAAAUAAAAAUCGGUGUGGGUGCUGCCUUAUGUGGUGACGUACCGGAAGUGGGACAACUAGCCGUCGGCUAAGUGCCCUCAAAUAUUGCAUGAUCUUUUCGAACGUAAUUACAAGAUUUUACGUACGUUU
This 204-nucleotide unclassified non-coding RNA is filed under the name Glomeraceae sp. RNAcentral's name for it is "partial contains 5.8S ribosomal RNA and internal transcribed spacer 2". The stretch from base 1 to 71 matches the Rfam family "5.8S ribosomal RNA", at positions 84 to 154 of the family's 154-position model. The record is from RNAcentral. Lineage: Eukaryota; Fungi; Glomeromycota; Glomeromycetes; Glomerales; Glomeraceae.